UGGCGGCAGGCCUAACACAUGCAAGUCGAACGAACCGUGCCCUUCGGGGCACUAUGUUAGUGGCGCACGGGUGAGUAACACGUGGGAACGUACCCUUUAGUGCGGAAUAACCAAGGGAAACUUUGACUAAUACCGCAUACGCCCUUCGGGGGAAAGAUUUAUCGCUAAAGGAUCGGCCCGCGCCUGAUUAGGUAGUUGGUGGGGUAAAAGCCUACCAAGCCGACGAUCAGUAGCUGGUCUGAGAGGAUGAUCAGCCACACUGGGACUGAGACACGGCCCAGACUCC
Molecule: ribosomal RNA, 286 nt
Filed under: uncultured bacterium
Lineage: Bacteria
Description: partial 16S ribosomal RNA
Rfam family: Bacterial small subunit ribosomal RNA
Source: RNAcentral